AGUAAAAUGGCUGAAAUUAGGCAAUAAAUUGUAAAUUUAUUUAUAAAUAUUAAUAUUUUUUUACUA
RNAcentral lists this transfer RNA (66 nucleotides) under Paduniella communis. Its description in RNAcentral is "tRNA-Tyr". Lineage: Eukaryota; Metazoa; Arthropoda; Insecta; Trichoptera; Psychomyiidae. The record is from RNAcentral. RNAcentral also lists the same sequence under 1 other name.